RNAcentral lists this ribosomal RNA (798 nucleotides) under uncultured bacterium. Its description in RNAcentral is "bacterial SSU rRNA". It matches the Rfam family "Bacterial small subunit ribosomal RNA", at positions 704 to 1501 of the family's 1533-position model. The record is from RNAcentral.
GAAUACCAGUGGCGAAGGCGGCCUCCUGGCUCGAUACUGACGCUGAGGUGCGAAAGCGUGGGGAUCAAACAGGAUUAGAUACCCUGGUAGUCCACGCCGUAAACGAUGUCUACUAGCCGUUGGGAGACUUGAUUUCUUAGUGGCGUAGCUAACGCACUAAGUAGACCGCCUGGGGAGUACGGCCGCAAGGUUAAAACUCAAAUGAAUUGACGGGGGCCCGCACAAGCGGUGGAGCAUGUGGUUUAAUUCGAUGCAACGCGAAGAACCUUACCAGGUCUUGACAUCCUGCGAACUUUCUAGAGAUAGAUUGGUGCCUUCGGGAACGCAGUGACAGGUGCUGCAUGGCUGUCGUCAGCUCGUGUCGUGAGAUGUUGGGUUAAGUCCCGUAACGAGCGCAACCCUUGUCCUUAGUUGCCAGCACAUAAUGGUGGGAACUCUAAGGAGACUGCCGGUGACAAACCGGAGGAAGGUGGGGACGACGUCAAGUCAUCAUGGCCCUUACGACCUGGGCUACACACGUGCUACAAUGGAACGCACAGAGGGCUGCAAAGGCGCGAGCUGGAGCGAAUCCCACAAAACGUUUCGUAGUCCGGAUUGGAGUCUGCAACUCGACUCCAUGAAGUCGGAAUCGCUAGUAAUCGUGAAUCAGAAUGUCACGGUGAAUACGUUCCCGGGCCUUGUACACACCGCCCGUCACACCAUGGGAGUGGGUUGCUCCAGAAGUGGUUAGCCUAACCUUCGGGAGGGCGAUCACCACGGAGUGAUUCAUGACUGGGGUGAAGUCGUAACAAGGUAACC